RNAcentral lists this ribosomal RNA (902 nucleotides) under uncultured bacterium. Its description in RNAcentral is "bacterial SSU rRNA". It matches the Rfam family "Bacterial small subunit ribosomal RNA", at positions 572 to 1501 of the family's 1533-position model. The record is from RNAcentral.
UAGGCGGCCUUUUAAGUCUUGUUUCAAAGCCCCCGGCUCAACCGGGGAAAGGGGCAGGAUACUAGAAGACUAGAGAUAUAUCGGGGUUACUGGAAUUUGUAGUGUAGGGGUAAAAUCCGUGGAUACUACAAAGAACACCAAUCGCGAAGGCGGGUAACUAGGUAUUUUCUGACGCUGAAAGACGAAAGCUAGGGUAGCAAAUCAGAUUAGAGACCUGAGUAGUCCUAGCCGUAAACGAUGUCUGUUAAUUUUUUCCCGCUUUGCGGGAGGAGAUGUAAGCUAACGCGUUAAACAGACCGCCUGGGGAGUAUAGCCGCAAGGCCGAAACUCAAACGAAUUGGCGGGGAGGCGCACAACCAGUGGAGCAUGUGGUUCAAUUCGAUACAAAGCGAUGAACCUUACCUGGGUUUGACAUAUAUUUGCACGGCCUCAGAAACGAGGCUUUCCUUCGAGGGUAAUAUACAGCUGUUGCAUGGCUGUCGUCAGCUCGUGACGUGAGUUGUUCUCUUAAGUGAGGUAACGAGCGCAACCCCCAUCGUAUGUUAUCGUGUCAUACGAAACUGCCCAGCAUUAUUUUUGUUGGGAGGAAGGAGGGGACGACGUCAAGUCAGCAUGAUGCUUAUGUCCAGGGCUACACACAUCCUACAAUGGGGUAUACAACGGGUCGCAAUAGCGCAAGCUGGAGCUAAUCCUUAAAAUACCCCUCAGUUGGGAUUGCAGGCUGAAAUUCGCCUGCAUGAACUUGGAAUUGGUAGUAAUCGCAGAUCAGCAGACUGCGGUGAAUACGUUCUCGCCUCUUGCACACACUGCCCGUCAAAUCAACAAAGUUGAGGGCACCCAAAAUCCCGUUUACGGGACUAAGGUGAAUUCAGCGAUGAGGGUUAAGUCGUAACAAGGUAACC